GGGGUUGUGGCUCAGAGGCAGAGCACUUGCCUAGCAAGUGUGAGGCACUGGGUUCAAUCCUCAGCACCA
Molecule: transfer RNA, 69 nt
Filed under: Ictidomys tridecemlineatus (thirteen-lined ground squirrel)
Lineage: Eukaryota; Metazoa; Chordata; Mammalia; Rodentia; Sciuridae
Description: Spermophilus tridecemlineatus (thirteen-lined ground squirrel) tRNA
Rfam family: tRNA
About the family: Transfer RNA (tRNA) molecules are approximately 80 nucleotides in length. Their secondary structure includes four short double-helical elements and three loops (D, anti-codon, and T loops). Further hydrogen bonds mediate the characteristic L-shaped molecular structure. tRNAs have two regions of fundamental functional importance: the anti-codon, which is responsible for specific mRNA codon recognition, and the 3' end, to which the tRNAs corresponding amino acid is attached (by aminoacyl-tRNA synthetases). tRNAs cope with the degeneracy of the genetic code in two manners: having more than one tRNA (with a specific anti-codon) for a particular amino acid; and 'wobble' base-pairing, i.e. permitting non-standard base-pairing at the 3rd anti-codon position.
Source: Rfam by way of RNAcentral